UUCCAAGUCUCCAAUAGCCACCCAUUGCCACCCCCUUUACCUCUCCUCCCACUUCCCAAUUCAGCCCAACUCAAAUGGCAACAGAGAGAGCUCAUAAUGUUCAUGCACUUUGGCAUGAACACCUUCACAGACUCAGAGUGGGGAACAGGGCACGAAAGCCCGACCACCUUCGCACCAACCUCUCUCGACACAAGCCAAUGGGCUCGAGUAGCCAAGGACUCGGGCUUCUCUCUCGUCAUACUCACCGCUAAGCACCAUGAUGGCUUCUGCUUAUGGCCCUCAAAAUACACAGAUCACUCUGUGAAAUUCAGUCCAUGGAAGAAUGGAACAGGGGAUGUGGUCCAUGACUUUGUGGACUCGGCUCGAGCCCAGGGCUUGGAUGUGGGCUUGUACCUCUCGCCAUGGGAUCGGCACGAGCACACUUAUGGGCGCGACUUGCCUUAUAAUGAGUUCUAUUUGGGCCAGCUACAGGAAUUGCUAAGAAGGUAUAGGACUUAAUUUCAUGUUCAUUUCUUUUAGUUGAUAGUAUAAUUUUAUUUUAUGAGCAUAAUUUGAUUCGUUAGCGACAUAAUGGUAAGCUAUCAUGACCGAUAGAAAUUUGGGGGGACUUUUUUUUUUGUUUGUUUUUGGUGGUAUGAUGGUUCGUUUGUUCUUCACCUAUGGGGAAAAAGAAAAAAUAAAAGGAAUUUGAUAAGUUUAUUUUAUCAGCAUAAUUUGAUUAGCUAGCGACGUAAUGGUUAGUUAUAAUGACCAAUAGAAAUUUGGGGGUCUUUUUUUUUUUUUGGGUGAUAUGAUGUUUUGUUUGUUCUUCACCAAUGGGUAAAAAGAAAAAGAGGAUUUGAAAAGUAAGGGGAAAAAAAAAGAAGAGAAGUACGCCGAAUAACAAAAGUUAGGAUGAAGUUUCGAUAGGGCGAAAACAAAAUAAAGCCUCAACUCAAAUGCUCAUCCAAAAGGCACUUUCGGCAUUAGGAAUCUUUAUGAUGGCUCUAAAAUUAAUUUUCAACACUGACAACAAAAUUUGAAACUCAAAAAUUCUCUAAAAUUAAUUUCAACACCGGCAAUAAAACUUAAAACUCAAAAAUUGAUUCAGAUCUUGUGGAUUUGUAAGCAUUUAUUUUUUGGACGAAUUGGAUGGUCAAGAUUAUUUGUUGCUAUAUACACUAUUUUUAGAUUUUAAAAUCCUAAUUUUUUUGCACAACCAUAAUGUUCAUGUUGAGAUGAUCGAUUUAAAGGUUGUUCCACACUUGCAUUGCAAUUUUUGAUGAGUUAUGAGGUGACACAGUACAAUACGAUAAAGAUGCAGCCCUAUCAAACCAUUCUCGGACAAAUUACGUGAAAAACGCACUAACUUUUUCUUUGCCCUUUUUAUAAAAUCAUGGUGCGUUUGCUUUCCACGCUCAUUGUCCUUUGGACAUGAAAAAUUUAUGGUACCACACUCUUGGUUGUUUUGUAUGUAGCAUGCUGGUCUCUACCAUCUCUUUGCAAUAACAUAUAGCAACGGGGAUCAGUAUAAAAAUUAAUAUUUGAAAAUGUAGACAUGGGUUUGGACUCAGCAGGCGCUCAAGUCCAUAGAGAAUUGGCUGUGUCAGAAGUCCAACUAGGCCAUUUUUUAGGGACAGUAACAAGGACCCUAGGUUUUGGGUGACUCCGUACAGAAUCUAGGGCCCGAGUUCGAACGCACUCUAAGUGAUUCCAAAUCGGUUCAGGGAUGUUUAUAUCAGUGAUAUAAACAGCAUAUUCAUGUUAUAUACUAGACAAACCGAAGGUAAACAAAUUAUGGAAAAGUUGCCAUUACAUACGGUAUACUUUUCCUGAACUUAUUUAUGAUAAGAAAAGGGAAAGUAGAGAAUAAGGGAGUAGUACACAACAAACGCCAACAUAUUAACUAAGAAUGGCAAAGUAUGGAAUGAGGGGAAAAUAUGCAAUAUGACUAUUUACUUUUGAUACAACAUCACAAUUGCCUUUAACUGUUAAAUGAUAUCAAACAUGCUUAAAGUACAAAGUAAUUUUUUUNNNNNNNNNNNNNNNNNNNNCUUCCAAGUCUCCAAUAGCCACCCAUUGCCACCCCCUUUACCUCUCCUCCCACUUCCCAAUUCAGCCCAACUCAAAUGGCAACAGAGAGAGCUCAUAAUGUUCAUGCACUUUGGCAUGAACACCUUCACAGACUCAGAGUGGGGAACAGGGCACGAAAGCCCAACCACCUUCGCGCCAACCUCUCUCGACACAAGCCAAUGGGCUCGAGUAGCCAAGGACUCGGGCUUCUCUCUCGUCAUACUCACCGCUAAGCACCAUGAUGGCUUCUGCUUAUGGCCCUCAAAAUACACAGAUCACUCCGUGAAAUUCAGUCCAUGGAAGAAUGGAACAGGGGAUGUGGUCCAUGAGUUUGUGGACUCGGCUCGAGCCCAGGGCUUGGAUGUGGGCUUGUACCUCUCGCCAUGGGAUCGGCACGAGCACACUUAUGGGCGCGACUUGCCUUAUAAUGAGUUUUAUUUGGGCCAGCUACAGGAAUUGCUAAGAAGGUAUAGGACUUAAUUUCAUGUUCAUUUCUUUUAGUUGAUAGUAUAAUUUUAUUUUAUGAGCAUAAUUUGAUUCGUUAGCGACAUAAUGGUAAGUUAUCAUGACCGAUAGAAAUUUGGGGGGACUUUUUUUUUUGUUUGUUUUUGGUGGUAUGAUGGUUUGUUUGUUCUUCACCUAUGGGGAAAAAGAAAAAAUAAAAGGAAUUUGAUAAGUUUAUUUUAUAAGCAUAAUUUGAUUAGCUAGCGACGUAAUGGUUAGUUAUAAUGACCAAUAGACAUUUGGGGGUUUUUUUUUUUUUUUUGGGUGAUAUGAUGUUUUGUUUGUUCUUCACCAAUGGGUAAAAAGAAAAAGAGGAUUUGAAAAGUAAGGGGAAAAAAAAAAGAAGAGAAGUACGCCGAAUAACAAAAGUUAGGAUGAAGUUUCGAUAGGGCGAAAACAAAAUAAAGCCUCACCUCAAAUGCUCAUCCAAAAAGCACUUUCGGUAUUAGGAAUCUUUAUGAUGGCUCUAAAAUUAAUUUUCAACACUGACAAUAAAAUUUGAAACUCAAAAAUUCUUUAAAAUUAAUUUCAACACCG
RNAcentral lists this long non-coding RNA (3093 nucleotides) under Amborella trichopoda. RNAcentral's name for it is "long non-coding RNA (ATRI_LNC005297)". Lineage: Eukaryota; Viridiplantae; Streptophyta; Magnoliopsida; Amborellales; Amborellaceae. The record is from RNAcentral.